RNAcentral lists this transfer RNA (82 nucleotides) under Puccinia graminis f. sp. tritici CRL 75-36-700-3. Its description in RNAcentral is "tRNA-Ser (TGA) (tRNA-Ser-TGA-3-1)". It matches the Rfam family "tRNA". Rfam says of the family: Transfer RNA (tRNA) molecules are approximately 80 nucleotides in length. Their secondary structure includes four short double-helical elements and three loops (D, anti-codon, and T loops). Further hydrogen bonds mediate the characteristic L-shaped molecular structure. tRNAs have two regions of fundamental functional importance: the anti-codon, which is responsible for specific mRNA codon recognition, and the 3' end, to which the tRNAs corresponding amino acid is attached (by aminoacyl-tRNA synthetases). tRNAs cope with the degeneracy of the genetic code in two manners: having more than one tRNA (with a specific anti-codon) for a particular amino acid; and 'wobble' base-pairing, i.e. permitting non-standard base-pairing at the 3rd anti-codon position. The record is from RNAcentral. Lineage: Eukaryota; Fungi; Basidiomycota; Pucciniomycetes; Pucciniales; Pucciniaceae.
GACAGGAUGGCCGAGUGGUUAAGGCGGCAGUUUUGAAAGCUGCUUCACUUUGUGAGUGUGAGUUCAAACCUCACUCCUGUCG